GGCUCGUUGGUCUAGGGGUAUGAUUCUCGCUUAGGGUGCGAGAGGUCCUGGAUUCAACUCCCAGACGAGCCC
Molecule: transfer RNA, 72 nt
Filed under: Albula goreensis
Lineage: Eukaryota; Metazoa; Chordata; Actinopteri; Albuliformes; Albulidae
Description: tRNA-Pro
Source: RNAcentral